GCUGUUAUCUCAGACAGAAACAGAGACAGGGACAGUAGCUGUUAUCUCAGACAGAAACAGGGACAGUAGUUGUUAUCUCAGACAGAAACAGAGACAGUGACAAUAGCUGUUAUCUCAGACAGAAACAAUGACAGGGACAAUAGCUGUUAUCUCAGACAGAAAUAGAAACAGAGACAGGGACAGUAGCUGUUAUCUCAGACAGAAACAGAGACAGGGACAAUAGCUGUUAUCUCAGACAGAAACAAUGACAGGGACAAUAGUUGUUAUCUCAGACAGAAACAGAGACAGUGACAAUAGCUGUUAUCUCAGACAGAAACAAUGACAGGGACAAUAGCUGUUAUCUCAGACAGAAACAAUGACAGGGACAAUAGUUGUUAUCUCAGACAGAAACAGAGACAGGGACAGUAGCUGUUAUCUCAGACAGGGACAGAAACAGAGACAGUAGCUGUUAUCUCAGACAGAAACAGAGACAGGGACAGUAGCUGUUAUCUCAGACAGAAACAGGGACAGUAGUUGUUAUCUCAGACAGAAACAGAGACAGGGACAAUAGUUGUUAUCUCAGACAGGGACAGAAACAGAGACAGUAGCUGUUAUCUCAGACAGAAACAGAGACAGGGACAGUAGCUGUUAUCUCAGACAGAAACAGAGACAGGGACAGUAGCUGUUAUCUCAGACAGAAACAGGGACAGUAGCUGUUAUCUCAGACAGAAACAGUGACCGUGACAAUAGCUGUUAUCUCAGACAGAAACAGAGACAGGGACAAUAGCUGUUAUCUCAGACAGAAACAGGGACAGUAGCUGUUAUCUCAGACAGAAACAGAGACAGGGACAGUAGCUGUUAUCUCAGACAGAAACAGAGACAGUAGCUGUUAUCUCAGACAGAAACAGAGACAGGGACAGUAGCUGUUAUCUCAGACAGAAACAGAGGCAGUAGCUGUUAUCUCAGACAGAAACAGAGACACGGACAAUAGUUGUUAUCUCAGACAGGGACAGAAACAGAGACAGUAGCUGUUAUCUCAGACAGAAACAGUGACCGUAUCUCCCUACACACUGCAUCUAUACUGCAUGCAUCCGAAAGAGUACCCUGUUCCCUAUAUAGUGCAUUACUUUUGACCAGAGAGUUGUGCACUAGAUAGGGAAUAGGGUCCCAUUUGGAACAUAGACCAUCCAUACUCUGACAUGUUUAUUCAUGGGACCAAGCCCAACUUCAUAAUAGUCACAACCGUACCCUCCCUUGCUUCUCCCCCCCCCCCCCCCCCUCUCGCUCCCCUCUUUUUCCCUAAUGCAAAUAACUGAAAGCUUUAUUGGCAUAAGAGGUCAGAGCAGUUUGCCAAAGGAUUAGCUAAUUAUUGUUCUUGGUCUGACCCGGGUUGCUUGUCCUUGCCAUUUCCCCGGUUCCUCCAUCCCUCAGUGUCCAUCUUAUUGUUUGACAUCGCUCCUCCUGACAAUUUAAAGGGUUGUGGGGGGCGAUGCGUCAGUGUAUUGGAAAGGUGCCGAGCGGACCGUUGAAAUAUUGAGAUGAAAUGUUGUGUACUGUACUUUAAGAGUACUUCACUAUAUUGUAGUCUUCGUUGUUGAAGGUAAACGCUUAGUGCCGGUAGAGGACAAUUCUUCCUGUGUGUUUACUUCUCUGAAUCCUGUUCUCAACACAUUGUAGUUGUUACCUGGCCAUUGUUCAGGUACUGAUGCUCUGGUAGCAAAAUAUAGAUUGGAUCCUCUAGGUCAGGUUCCCAGGAUAUAUAUUAUGUCUAGGUUUAAUCUGGGUCAGGUUCCCGGAUAGAUAUUAUGUCUCGGUUUAAUCUGGGUCAGGUUCCCAGAUAGAUAUUAUGUUUAGGUUUAAUCUGGGUCAGAGGAACUGGCCCUCUGUGUCUUCAUUGACUAGUCAGUAGAUGUUAAGGUGUGCUCAGCCAGACGACCUCCCCUAAAGGUAGGUUUAAUCUGGGUCAAGUUCCUGGGUCAGGUUCAUUGACUAGUCAGUAGAUGAUAAGGUGUGCUCAGCCAGACAACCUCCCCUAAAACUAGGUUUAAUCUGGGUCAGGUUCCUUGACUAGUCAGUAGAUGAUAAGGUGUGCUCAGCCAGACUGCCUCCCCUAAAGCUAGGUUUAAUCUGGGUCAGAUUCCUUGACUAGUCAGUAGAUGAUAAAGCGUGCUCAGCCAGACGGCCUCCCCUAAAGCUAGGUUUAAUCUGGGUCAGGUUCCUUGACUAGUCAGUAGAUGAUAAAGUGUGCUCAGCCAGACGGCCUCCCCUAAAGCUGGUUUAAUCUGGGUCAGGUUCCUGGGUCACGUUCCUUGACUAGUCAGUAGAUGAUAAGGUGUGCUCAGCCAGACUGCCUCCCCUAAAGCUAGGUUUAAUCUGGGUCAGGUUCAUUGACUAGUCAGUAGAUGAUAAGGUGUGCUCAGCCAGACAACCUCCCCUAAAACUAGGUUUAAUCUGGGUCAGGUUCCUUGACUAGUCAGUAGAUGAUAAGGUGUGCUCAGCCAGACUGCCUCCCCUAAAGCUAGGUUUAAUCUGGGUCAGGUUCAUUGACUAGUCUGUAGAUGUUAAGGUGUGCUCAGCCAAACGACCUCCCCUAAAACUAGGUUUAAUCUGGGUCAGGUUCCUUGACUAGUCAGUAGAUGAUAAGGUGUGCUCAGCCAGACUGCCUCCCCUAAAGCUAGGUUUAAUCUGGGUCAGGUUCCUGGGUCAGGUUCCUUGACUAGUCAGUAGAUGAUAAGGUGUGCUCAGCCAGACCUCCUCCCCUAAAGCUAGGUUUAAUCUGGGUCAGGUUCCUGGGUCAGGUUCCUUGACUAGUCAGUAGAUGUUAAGGUGUGCUCAGCCAGACUGCCUCCCCUAAAGCUUGGUUUAAUCUGGGUCAGGUUCCUUGACUAGUCAGUAGAUGAUAAGGUGUGCUCAGCCAGACGGCCUCCCCUAAAGCUAGGUUUAAUCUGGGUCAGGUUCCUUGACUAGUCAGUAGAUGAUUAGGUGUGCUCAGCCAGACGGCCUCCCCUAAUGCUAGGUUUAAUCUGGGUCAGGUUCCUUGACUAGUCAGUAGAUGAUAAGGUGUGCUCAGCCAGACGACCUCCCCUAAAACUAGGUUUAAUCUGAGUCAGGUUCCUUGACUAGUCAGUAGAUGUUAAGGUGUGCUCAGCCAGACGACCUCCCCUAAAACUAGGUUUAAUCUGAGUCAGGUUCCUUGACUAGUGAGUAGAUGUUAAAAUGUGCUCAGCCAAACAACCUCCCCUAAAGCUAGGUUUAAUCUGGGUCAGGUUCCUUGACUAGUCAGUAGAUGUUAAGGUGUGUUCAGCCAGACUGCCUCCCCUAAAGCUAGGUUUAACCUGGGUCAGGUUCCUGAGUCAGGUUCCUUGACUAGUCAGUAGAUGAUAAGGUGUGCUCAGCCAGACGGCCUCCCCUAAAGCUAGGUUUAAUCUGGGUCAGGUUCCUUGACUAGUCAGUAGAUGAUAAAGUGUGCUCAGCCAGACUGCCUCCCCUAAUGCUAUGUUUAAUCUGGGUCAGGUUCCUGGGUCAGGUUCCUUGACUAGUCAGUAGAUGAUAAGGUGUGCUCAGCCAGACUGCCUCCCCUAAAGCUAGGUUUAAUCUGGGUCAGGUUCCUUGACUAGUCAGUAGAUGAUAAGGUGUGCUCAGCCAGACUGCCUCCCCUAAAGCUAGGUUUAAUCUUGGUCAGGUUCCUUGACUAGUCAGUAGAUGAUAAAGUGUGCUCAGCCAGACGACCUCCCCUAAAGCUCACCCCUUCAGUUGUUUUAUUAGGCAUCUGGUGUAAAACCCCUCAUGGUGUGACUACUCCCUAUCAGAUACGCAGUGAAAGCAUUAUUCUGAAUGCUAUCUAACUGAAUAUAAAACAAAAAAACAAUAACAAAGUAAUAAUAUUUUUUGGGGGUUUCCAUUUUGACUGUUGGUCUGUGUUUGUGUACAGUACGUGUGUGUUUUGGUGUUCCUGUGUUUAAGGGUUUUGUUUCUCUCUGUUCUUUUUGAGAAGAAAAAAAAAGAGAAAAAAAAAGUUUGUUUCUGUAAAUAUUGUUGUUGAAAAAUGAUGAGCUAUUUGUUUGCUGUACGCUGCAAUACGUUUCAACCUUUUCGUCACCUGAACAGGCGGAGGAAUCGUCAAUAAUAUUCCAGAUGACGCUGGUUAUAACUGCCCUUUCUUGAACAAGGGCUCUUGAUGUCUGCUGUUAUUUGUUGUUGGAGGUGACAGUCGGGAGGGGAGGUUGGAGGAGCGAGAGACAGAGAUACCCAACACACUUCCCAGACCAGAACAAUCUCUUCAAUAAUAUGUCACUGCGUAACAAACAAACAAAACAGAAAUCUUCACAAUUACAAAGAUGAACAAAUAUCGGUUGCUUUUACGCUCAUAUAAGUACCUUAUUAUUUGGAGAUUGUCAUCUGUCACAACAGACUAGUCCCACAGUAAUAUCACCACCCAAAACAACAACAGCCUACAGUCACUGAAACAUUUUGUUGAACCUUUAUUUAACUAGGCAAGCCAGUUAAAAACAAAUUCUUAUUUUCAAUGACGGCCUACCGGGGGAACAGUGGGUUAACUGCCUUGUUCAGGGGAACAGUGGGUUAACUGCCUUGUUCAGGGGAACAGUGGAUUAACUGCCUUGUUCAGGGGAACAGUGGGUUAACUGCCUUGUUCAGGGGAACAGUGGGUUAACUGCCUUGUUCAGGGGAACAGUGGGUUAACUGCCUUGUUCAGGGGAACAGUGGGUUAACUGCCUUGUUCAGGGGAACAGUGGGUUAACUGCCUUGUUCAGGGGAACAGUGGGUUAACUGCCUACUCUAGGAACAGUGCGUUAACUGCCUACUCUAGGAACAGUGGGUUAACUGCCUUGUUCAGGGGGCAGAACGACAGAUUUUUACCUUGUCACCCCAGAUGACACUGGGCCAAUGGUGCGCCGCCCUAACCCUAACCCAAUCACAGCUGGAUGUGAUACAGACUGGAUUCAAACCAGGGACUAUAGUGACACCUUUUGCACUGAGAUGCAGUGCCUUAGACCGCUGCGCCACUCGGGAGCCCAAAUGCUUCUCAACCUCAGCCUAUAAUUAAACUUAGUAUCGUGUGUUAGAUUAGAUAUAGAUGGGACAAAAGCAUCUCAGAUCACAGCAAUUUGACUAGAACGCUCAUGGUUGCCAGUCCACCCAUCACCUACACUUGAGUGGGGAAAACCUUUUCUAAAAAUUGUAUUUCUAUUGGGCUAUAUGCUCCUCCUCGUCGCAUCGCCGUGGAAUUCUUUGGUAGAUGGCUGUUCCCCCCGCAUCGCUUCCCUCCCUCUGCCGUAGUGCAUUCAGAGAGGGCUAUAUGUUCCUCAAUGCCGGUCCCCUCCCUCUGCAGUGGUAGCUUGGCAUUCCCUCUCACCCCUAUCAGCUCCUACAGAAAGGAGCCUGGCUAACUGGCUGUAUGGGGUUUUACUGUAAUACUGGCUAACUGGCUGUAUGGGGUUUUACUGUAAUACAGAAAGGAGCCUGGCUAAUUGGCUGUAUGGGGUUUUACUGUAAUACAGAAAGGAGCCUGGCUAACUGGGUGUAUGGGGGGUUUACUGUAAAACCAUGGUGUUAUAGAGUAUUAACUGUAGAAUAUGAUGUCACGCUGUCUGUUUAAAUCAACACUCAACCCUAUUCAUAGGUUGCACCUCCGUCACUCGGUCGCGUCGUGCCGUUGUUAUGAACGUUCUCAAGCCGCCCUCUACCGGCGGCGCGAUAGUGGUGCCCCGAAAAUGGUGCCCCAGUCAUUCUGGACGGAGGCUGACGAAUGUUUAGUUCUAAAUUACACUAUAGUGCCUGGAAAUACGAUGACAUUGCUAAAGUACUCAAAUGUUUUGUAAGAAAACAACCUUUGCCAGUAUUAUAAUGUUGUCAAUUUUACUUUUAAACUGAUGGGAAUGUUGCCAUUAUAUAUAAAAUAAAAAUAGCUUCGACUCCUGAAUGACAUUGUAUUUCCAAGACACUGUAAUGCACAUUUGUUUAAAUCUUCAUCGGCGAUAAAUGACAAUGCGUUAAGUAAAAUGCUCAGUUGGGUAUCAGUCCAAAACGACCUACCAAACAAUAGCGACAAAACAUUAACUUUAGACGUGUUAAGUCAUCAGCAUGUUUCAGUUCAGGUGGCGGCUAGGCAAAACCGACCGAUGUGCUUCUAUACUCCCUUAUAAUACCUUCGCUUGAAAAAACGAGAAAAGUAAGUGCCACGGUUUGUCCCUUUUGAGAAGCCGUAGCCAGUACACACUUCCUCAAAAAUUGUGAGACCCGAAUAAAAAAAAAUAAAAAAAAUCUUUCAUUUAUUUUGACGGUUUUUUGCAGAGGUCUUAGUCGCGUAAUUUUACAUCUAACUAAGAUAUUUGGUGAAGUAUUUCUCAAUGAAAACAUGUGGAUGAAAACGCUUCGUCUCGUCUCGAACGACAACAAAGACUUUAUUGAAGAAUCCCAACAGUCGACCAAUCACGUAGGAAGGGUUGAGUACUUUGGGUGUGUGUCUGAACAGCCCAAAACCUCCUUUCCGACCAAAAUCCAAAACCGUCACAAAAUGUCAUCAUUAUAUAUGCACGAACUCUUCCCCAACUGUUUCGGCUGGGAAGUAUACAGACGCCUUUAGUUCCAGGCACGUUUGUCGAAACAGAAAAAAAAUGAUUUUACCCCUGAACAAUGUUGAAACAUAUAUUGGGGGACUAGGUUGCAAAAUUCUGGUAACUUUAGAUUCUAGAUCCUGGUUGGGUGGAUUCUAGAUUCCUUCCUGAUUCUGGAAAUCUUCCAACAGGGAUUUCUGGGGAUUUUGUGAAAGUUCUGGACAUGUUGCUACCCUACACAAGACCAUAUUGGGUUACUUCUCCAAAACAAACACGAGUUUAUCUGCAACAGGACAUUUACACCAAUAGCAGAAUAACAACCCCAGAGCUUUUGUUAUUGUUAGACCGAUGUGAUGACCUUCCGAGUGCCUGUUUCCCGGCACCAGACUGGAGGUGCCAAACACCAGGUCCAACCAAAUCCCAGUGACCUCCCAGUGUCCCCUAGCUUCCCAGUCCUAUUUUGAGACUCAAACCUGGGCUCUAAAAAAAAAAAAUGACGUGCUGUUUUGGUGCGGUACGCUCAGAGAAGUACACUCUGUUUCAGAGCCAGCCAUCAGACCUGCAGGUGUCUGCAAAAAAACACUCCCCUCCCUAGUUCUCCAUAUGCUCUGUUCCUGAGUAGCUGGCAGCUCUGUGUGUGUGUGUGUGUGUGUGUGUGUGUGUGUGUGUGUGUGUGUGUGUGUGUGUGUGUGUGUGUGUGUGUGUGUGUUCAGGAGAGAGCUUAUCAUUGUCAGAUGGCUUUCAGUGUUGACUAGGACACAGACAUGAUCCUCACAGCUGAUAUACUGGCAAGGACACACACACAAAUAUACACACACAGCUGAUACACUGGCAAGGACACACACACACACAAAUACACACACACACACAUAUACACACACACACACACACACACAUAUACACACAUACACACACACACAUAUACACACACACACACACACACACAAAUACACACACACACACACACACACAAAUAUACACACACGCUGGCCAUUUACAAUCUGUCUAGCAAGGUCAACAAAAUAAAUAUACCACUGAUCUUAACCGGCUGAAAAAUUCAAAUGUAGAGCGUCCCCCCCCCGUCCCCCCUAUACCUACAUGCACACCUCUGUGGAUAAAUAGUUUAUUAUCAUUCUCUGCCUUCAUGUUGUGAAGUUCAUUUACAUUUAGACCUCAAGGUCAAAUUUCUUCCUGGGUGUGAACGGUAUCCUAAGCCCUCUCCCUCUUCUCUCCAUCUCUUCUCCCAGACCCCACCUCAUCAACAGCUCUAACUUUCAACACACAAAUUGUGAAUCUGAUUUAAUGUACUUGUGUCUUUUUUUGUUGCGUUUUUUUUGUGCCAACUUUGUGUAUAAACAUCUCUGAAUAUAUGAAAAACUACAGUAUAGAUGCUUCCUGGAACAUGCAGGGUAAUAGGGUAUACUUGGUCGACUCGAGGACAAAACGUAGAGCCGCUAUAAAGCUAGUUAUCGAGAACAUCCUGCUGUAGAAACCUGGUGUGUCACCACGGACCCUUUUUAUAUUCUAGGUUUCGUUUUUUUGUGUUGAUGUUUUUUUUUAAAUACACCCGGUGGCAUCCAAGG
Long non-coding RNA from Oncorhynchus kisutch (coho salmon), 8137 nucleotides. RefSeq lists it as uncharacterized. The record is from RefSeq and is a predicted model, not a curated record. NCBI's taxonomy places the organism in Eukaryota, Metazoa, Chordata, Actinopteri, Salmoniformes, Salmonidae. The transcript has 2 exons.